GGACGAACGCUGGCGGCGUGCUUAACACAUGCAAGUCGAACGGAAAGGCCCUGCUUUUGUGGGGUGCUCGAGUGGCGAACGGGUGAGUAACACGUGAGUAACCUGCCCUUGACUUUGGGAUAACUUCAGGAAACUGGGGCUAAUACCGGAUAGGAGCUCCUGCUGCAUGGUGGGGGUUGGAAAGUUUCGGCGGUUGGGGAUGGACUCGCGGCUUAUCAGCUUGUUGGUGGGGUAGUGGCUUACCAAGGCUUUGACGGGUAGCCGGCCUGCGAGGGUGACCGGCGACAUUGGGACUGAGAGACGGCCCAGACUCCUACGGGAGGCAGCAGUGGGGAAUAUUGCACAAUGGGCGGAAGCCUGAUGCAGCAACGCCGCGUGCGGGAUGACGGCCUUCGGGUUGUAAACCGCUUUCGCCUGUGACGAAGCGUGAGUGACGGUAAUGGGUAAAGAAGCACCGGCUAACUACGUG
RNAcentral lists this ribosomal RNA (469 nucleotides) under uncultured bacterium. RNAcentral's name for it is "partial 16S ribosomal RNA". It matches the Rfam family "Bacterial small subunit ribosomal RNA", at positions 27 to 507 of the family's 1533-position model. The record is from RNAcentral.